This 467-nucleotide ribosomal RNA is filed under the name uncultured bacterium. Its description in RNAcentral is "bacterial SSU rRNA". It matches the Rfam family "Bacterial small subunit ribosomal RNA", at positions 917 to 1382 of the family's 1533-position model. The record is from RNAcentral.
GGGCCCGCACAAGCGGUGGAGCAUGUGGUUCAAUUCGACGCAACGCGAAGAACCUUACCGGGGCUUGAACUGUAACUGCUACUUCUGGAAACAGGGGGUUCUCUUCGGAGACGGUUAUAGAGGUGCUGCAUGGCUGUCGUCAGCUCGUGUCGUGAGAUGUUGGGUUAAGUCCCGCAACGAGCGCAACCCUUGCCCUUAGUUGCCAUCAGGUAAAGCUGGGCACCCUAAGGGAACUGUCGGCGAAAAGCCGGAGGAAGGUGGGGAUGACGUCAAGUCCUCAUGGCCCUUACGUCCCGGGCUACACACGUGCUACAAUGGCUGGUACAAAGAGUCGCCAACCCGCGAGGGGGAGCUAAUCUCAAAAAACCAGUCCCAGUUCGGAUUGCAGUCUGCAACUCGACUGCAUGAAGGUGGAAUCGCUAGUAAUCGCAGAUCAGCACGCUGCGGUGAAUACGUUCCCGGGCCUU